AGCAUUAACAUGUAUACGAAUGGUAUAAUACACAAAAAUCUGAUAAAUUACAAUUCAAUUUAGCAAAAUUGUCAAAAAAAAAAUCAAAGAUCGGUAUCAAUUAGAAUUACAAAAUUUUGUGGUGGAACCAAAUGAUAAGUUACUAUAGUGGAAGCGUCCAAGUCCUUCAAUAACUUACUGUAAUGAAAAAUCAACAGAAGAAUGCAUGACAAGUAAAAACAUUAGAACUCAAUUAAAAACAAAGUCCUUGCUCAUAAUAUGUCAAAUUGUUCCAGAUAAUUGUGCCAACAUGUUUUGUGGUGAAAAUAAACAAUCUCAAAACUUAGACCAAACACAAUCAUACUCCUUCGUUACUUAUUUUCCUUCAGCAAUCAAUCCAAACAACAUACUCUCCUAAUAUAUGGAAAUUUUAAACCAACCUUAAAUUUAAUGUGUUUGCUAGGCCGGCCACAUAGCUUUAGGGCUUCAAGGAACUUCUUAUGUUCUUCAACAUUUCGACUUUCUCUCUGUUUUGAUAAAGUAUAUGGUUUUGUAGCGUAUAAUGUCUCCUAAUCUUUGUACCAAAAAACAAAUUAAAAUUCUUAUCCAAACUGAACUGAAGCGUUUGGUUCUCAUCAAUUCCAAUUUCCAACAAACAAAAACAAUUUAAAAGAGUAAUCAAAAUGCAAAAUAACAUGUAGAAAUCAGAAACAUGGUGAUUACAAGAAGGAGUGUGUACAAUAACUGAUGUAGUAUCAAAAGUAAGUAUUUUUGUGCAUCGUCUCCACAAGGAUUAGCGCGAUAUUCAAGUCGUUCAACAAUCGAUAUCGCUCUAAACUUAUGGUUCAAAUGAUUGAUUGAUUAAGAACUAAUCCAUCCCCAGAAGUGAGAGAAAAAGCUAUUUAAAUGUGGUUGAAUCUGUCAAACUCGCUUAUAGCCAAAAACUCGUUUAUAGCAAGUUGCACGAAAU
RNAcentral lists this long non-coding RNA (949 nucleotides) under Medicago truncatula (barrel medic). Its description in RNAcentral is "long non-coding RNA (MTRU_LNC005887)". The record is from RNAcentral. Lineage: Eukaryota; Viridiplantae; Streptophyta; Magnoliopsida; Fabales; Fabaceae.